AGCAGAGGACUGAAAAUCCUCGUGUCACCA
This 30-nucleotide transfer RNA is filed under the name Pylaisiadelpha tristoviridis. RNAcentral describes it as "partial trnF". The record is from RNAcentral. RNAcentral also lists the same sequence under 1 other name. Lineage: Eukaryota; Viridiplantae; Streptophyta; Bryopsida; Hypnales; Pylaisiadelphaceae.